RNAcentral lists this ribosomal RNA (500 nucleotides) under uncultured cyanobacterium. RNAcentral describes it as "bacterial SSU rRNA". It matches the Rfam family "Bacterial small subunit ribosomal RNA", at positions 356 to 869 of the family's 1533-position model. The record is from RNAcentral. Lineage: Bacteria; Bacillati; Cyanobacteriota.
GGGGAAUUUUCCGCAAUGGGCGCAAUCCUGACGGAGCAAUACCGCGUGAGGGAAGAAGGCUCUUGGGUUGUAAACCUCUUUUCUUAGGGAAGAAAAAAAUGACGGUACCUAAGGAAUAAGCAUCGGCUAACUCCGUGCCAGCAGCCGCGGUAAUACGGAGGGUGCAAGCGUUAUCCGGAAUGAUUGGGCGUAAAGUGUCCGCAGGUGGCAAGUCAAGUUUGCGGUUAAAGGUUCUGGCUCAACCAGAGACAGGCCGUGAAAACUGACUAGCUAGAGUAUGGUAGGGGCAGAGGGAAUUCCCAGUGUAGCGGUGAAAUGCGUAGAGAUUGGGAAGAACACCGGUGGCGAAAGCGCUCUGCUAGGCCAAAACUGACACUGAGGGACGAAAGCUAGGGGAGCGAAUGGGAUUAGAUACCCCAGUAGUCCUAGCCGUAAACGAUGGAUACUAGGUGUAGCUUGUAUCGACCCAAGCUGUGCCGUAGCUAACGCGUUAAGUAUCC